AAUGAACGCUAGCGGCAGGCCUAACACAUGCAAGUCGAGGGGCAGCACAUAAAGUGGUUUACUACUUUUGGUGGCGACCGGCGGACGGGUGCGUAACGCGUAUGCAACCUGCCUCCAACAGGGGGAUAACGGAGAGAAAUUUCCACUAAUACCCCAUAAUAUCAGAAUCGGCAUCGGUUUUGGUUGAAAACUCCGGUGGUUGGAGAUGGGCAUGCGUUGUAUUAGAUAGUUGGUGAGGUAACGGCUCACCAAGUCAACGAUACAUAGGGGGGCUGAGAGGUUAGCCCCCCACACUGGUACUGAGACACGGACCAGACUCCUACGGGAGGCAGCAGUGAGGAAUAUUGGUCAAUGGGGGCAACCCUGAACCAGCCAUGCCGCGUGCAGGAAAACGGCUCUAUGAGUUGUAAACUGCUUUUACAAGGGGAUAAAUCGGUGUACGUGUACACCGUUGAAGGUACCUUGGGAAUAAGGAUCGGCUAACUCCGUGCCAGCCGCCGCCGUAA
RNAcentral lists this ribosomal RNA (506 nucleotides) under uncultured bacterium. RNAcentral's name for it is "partial 16S ribosomal RNA". It matches the Rfam family "Bacterial small subunit ribosomal RNA", at positions 29 to 523 of the family's 1533-position model. The record is from RNAcentral.